AUCCAAAUCGGACAUAAAACAACAAAGUUAUAGAUAUUUUAUUGUUUCCCCAUUAUACCCUAUCACCGGAUCUCCGAGGUGGCUCUGAACCACUUCGGGAAAAAGAAUGAGGCAGCGCUUCCACACGGAUGUGCUGCUUUGGACCCCGAAGAGUCCGAAGCUUCUCCGGAUCCGAAGCUCUGUCUGAAGCCUGGCACAGCACUACUAUUCCAUAUGGCUCUUGCUUAGUUCACCAAUUUUCCCUUUGUUUCUGGAAGGAACAAGUAGAUAUAAAUCCCUGAGAUGAAAAGAGCUCCCAUAAAGAUAAGGAAACAGAAUGGGCCAAGGUUCUC
Molecule: long non-coding RNA, 332 nt
Organism: Alligator mississippiensis (American alligator)
Lineage: Eukaryota; Metazoa; Chordata; Crocodylia; Alligatoridae
Exons: 2
Source: RefSeq, a predicted model, not a curated record